This 1169-nucleotide long non-coding RNA is filed under the name Equus caballus (horse). Its description in RNAcentral is "lncRNA (ENSECAG00000046145.1)". Lineage: Eukaryota; Metazoa; Chordata; Mammalia; Perissodactyla; Equidae. The record is from RNAcentral.
UAUUAAUGAAUUUAUAUUUUGAAUUACAAAGGCAAUUUAGAGCGAAGUUACAAGCUCACCCUAUAAAACAUUUUGAAAAUGAAGUAAAGGAAAAAUGACCAGAUGAGUAGGAUAUUAGCAGGCAAGGAUAAGGAGAGAAUGCUUCAUAAAUAGAUGAAGCAGCUUAAGCAAAGGCAGGGCUCAGGCGGUGUGGCGUGUAUUCCAACUCCUGUGACUAACUGCCACCCCAUUUGACUGGAAGCCAUUGAGGUGGCAAAGCCGUGCGUCAGGAUCAAGAGCCCUACAGCUCGCUCGUGUGACCUCGAGCGUAGUACUGGACCUCUCUGAGCUGCUCUGAGACUGACUUAAUAGGGAAUCCCAAAGUGGUAGGUGGCACCUAUGGUGACAGCAUCCAUUGAAGGAUUUGAAUAGGGAAGAGCCUUGUUUGGAACUUGGCAACCAAUUAGACAUCAGAGUCAAAAAGCAGGGAUAUCAGUGCAGGGUCGCUGUGUGGCUGGAGGCGUCAGCAGUGGGUUUGAGGGAAAGGAGGAAGAAUUUAGUUUGUGAUGAGUUUGUGUUGCCUACACGAUAUCUGAGAAAAACCCUCAGCAAGUAGACGGGGCUGGGCCUGGAGUUCAAGAGGAAGGUAGGAGCAGAUGUCAGAAAUGGGGCACCGAUGCCCACCAGGGCAGUUAGGAGAAUAGCCAAGGAGAGUGGGCAGGACAGCCCCUUAUAUCUAGAGGCUGGGUUGGGAGAGAAAUGAUGGAGCCAGCGUCUUCAGAGAGGUCUGGUCCCCCGGGAGGGCCUCACACAGAGAGGGUCAAGCCCUAAGGAUCGUCUGGGCCCACCAACUCAUCUCACCAAGAGGCAGGUCAGAUGUGCUCAGCAUCACAGAGCGGGAAAAGGCAGUACUGGACCAGAACCCAGAACCUAGCACUUUCGACUCUGCAGGUGCACGUGUUCAGAGCCCUCAAGGUCAUGGAUUCCCACAGCUGGUCGUUGGUAGAAAUGGGAUCGAACCACACACAUUCUGCUCUAUCAAGAGGCUUCCCAAGGCUGUGUUAUACAGGACGGAUUGACACCACAAAUAAGGCAUUUCUGGGUCAUGAGCUUGGAGCUUGAAGUAAUCUUGCUCGGUAAGUCCCUGCUGAGGCUUGACCAUUACAUUCUUUCCUUCCCCUUAUCUCUUG